RNAcentral lists this ribosomal RNA (370 nucleotides) under Neogoniolithon spectabile. Its description in RNAcentral is "partial large subunit ribosomal RNA". It matches the Rfam family "Bacterial large subunit ribosomal RNA", at positions 2098 to 2465 of the family's 2925-position model. The record is from RNAcentral. Lineage: Eukaryota; Rhodophyta; Florideophyceae; Corallinales; Spongitidaceae.
GCUUUACUGUAGCCUGGUAUUGAAGUCAAGUCUAUCAUGUGCAGUAUAGGUGGGAAGCAAAGAAAGUAUAUUUGCGGAUAUACCAGAGCUAGCAGUGAGAUACCACUCUUGAUAAACUAGACUUCUAAUUUGGGAUGCCAUUAUCUGGCCAAAAGACAUUGCCAGGUGGGCAGUUUGACUGGGGCGGUCGCCUCCUAAAAGGUAACGGAGGCGUGCAAAGGUUUUCUCAGACUGGUCGGAAAUCAGUCGUAGAGUGUAAAGGCAUAAGAAAGCUUAACUGCGAGACCUACAAGUCGAGCAGAGACGAAAGUCGGCCUUAGUGAUCCGACAGUGCUGAGUGGAAAGGCUGUCGCUCAACGGAUAAAAGUUA